GACGAACGCUGGCGGCGUGCUUAACACAUGCAAGUCGAACGAAGAGCGAUGGAAGCUUGCUUCUAUCAAUCUUAGUGGCGAACGGGUGAGUAACGCGUAAUCAACCUGCCCUUCAGAGGGGGACAACAGUUGGAAACGACUGCUAAUACCGCAUACGAUCUAAUCUCGGCAUCGAGGAUAGAUGAAAGGUGGCCUCUACAUGUAAGCUAUCACUGAAGGAGGGGAUUGCGUCUGAUUAGCUAGUUGGAGGGGUAACGGCCACCAAGGGGAUGAUCAGUAACCGGUCUGGAAGGAUGAACGGCCACAUUGGGACUGAGACACGGCCCAGACGCCUACGGGAGGCAGCAGUGGGGAAUCUUCCGCAAUGGACGAAAGUCUGACGGAGCAACGCCGCGUGAGUGAUGACGGCCUUCGGGUUGUAAAGCUCUGUUAAUCGGGACGAAAGGCCUUCUUGCGAAUAGUGAGAAGGAUUGACGGUACCGGAAGAGAAAGCCACGGCUAACUACGUG
Molecule: ribosomal RNA, 509 nt
Filed under: uncultured bacterium
Lineage: Bacteria
Description: partial 16S ribosomal RNA
Rfam family: Bacterial small subunit ribosomal RNA
Source: RNAcentral